CUCGUAGUUGGACCUGUGUUCCACGCUGUCGGUUCGCCGCCCGUCGGUGUCAACUGGCAUGUCCUGUGGAACGUCCUGCCGGUGGCGGUCCGGGCUUUCGGCUUGCGUAAGGGCUCACGCCCGAAGCAGGCCGAACAGUACCGGCCGCCGGUCCAAUCCCGCCACGGUGCUCUUCACCGAGUGUCGAGGUGGGCCGGCACGUUUACUUUGAACAAAUUAGAGUGCUUAAAGCAGGCUGGUGUCCGCCUGAAUACUGUGUGCAUGGAAUAAUAGAAUAGGACCUCGGUUCUAUUUUGUUGGUUUUCGGAACCCGAGGUAAUGAUUAAUAGGGACAGGCGGGGGCAUUCGUAUUGCGACGUUAGAGGUGAAAUUCUUGGAUCGUCGCAAGACGAACCUAAGCGAAAGCAUUUGCCAAGUAUGUUCUCGUUAAUCAAGAACGAAAGUUAGAGGUUCGAAGGCGAUCAGAUACCGCCCUAGUUCUAACCAUAAACGAUGCCAGCCAGCGAUCCGCCGAAGUUCCUCCGAUGACUCGGCGGGCAGCUUCCGGGAAACCAAAGCUUUUGGGUUCCGGGGGAAGUAUGGUUGCAAAGCUGAAACUUAAAGGAAUUGACGGAAGGGCACCACCAGGAGUGGAGCCUGCGGCUUAAUUUGACUCAACACGGGAAACCUCACCAGGCCCGGACACCGGAAGGAUUGACAGAUUGAGAGCUCUUUCUUGAUUCGGUGGGUGGUGGUGCAUGGCCGUUCUUAGUUGGUGGAGCGAUUUGUCUGGUUAAUUCCGAUAACGAACGAGACUCUAGCCUGCUAACUAGGCGAUUCCGGUACCCACAAUAGUGUUACCGGCGAUUCAAUUUCUUCUUAGAGGGACAGGCGGCUCCUAGCCGCACGAGACUGAGCAAUAACAGGUCUGUGAUGCCCUUAGAUGUCCUGGGCCGCACGCGCGCUACACUGAAGGAAUCAGCGUGUCUUCCCUGGCCGACAGGCCCGGGUAACCCGUUGAACCUCCUUCGUGCUAGGGAUUGGGGCUUGCAAUUGUUCCCCAUGAACGAGGAAUUCCCAGUAAGCGCGAGUCAUAAGCUCGCGUUGAUUACGUCCCUGCCCUUUGUACACACCGCCCGUCGCUACUACCGAUUGAAUGAUUUAGUGAGGUCUUCGGACUGGUGCGCGGCGAUCGGCUUAUACUGCCGGCCGCCGAUGUUGCCGGAAAGAUGACCAAACUUGAUCAUUUAGAGGAAGUAAAAGUCGUAACAAGGUUUCC
This 1258-nucleotide ribosomal RNA is filed under the name Ocoaxo panamensis. RNAcentral's name for it is "SSU rRNA". It matches the Rfam family "Eukaryotic small subunit ribosomal RNA", at positions 627 to 1804 of the family's 1831-position model. The record is from RNAcentral. Lineage: Eukaryota; Metazoa; Arthropoda; Insecta; Hemiptera; Cercopidae.